This is a long non-coding RNA of Neofelis nebulosa (Clouded leopard), 5282 nucleotides long. RefSeq lists it as uncharacterized. NCBI's taxonomy places the organism in Eukaryota, Metazoa, Chordata, Mammalia, Carnivora, Felidae. The transcript has 6 exons. The record is from RefSeq and is a predicted model, not a curated record.
AUUGAAAUCCCAGAAAGGUUUACUUGCCUACUAAAUAUUAUAUUGUUACACAUAUACAUAUGUUGCCAUAUAGGCAUUCACAGAUACGUAAAUGUAUGUUACCAAAAAGCCACAUGAAGAAAAAAAGACUAGGAGAAAAUGUAACAAGCUAUAAUGUUCAUUAUUGGGGGUACGAAUAUAGUGAUUUCUAAAAUCUUAUUCCUGCAUUUUCUGUAUUUUCUACAAGAACAUGCAUUGCUUUUCAGAUAAAAUAAUAAUUUAAGUGGAAGACUGUACAAAUUAGAAAAUUCUAUUCCCAUUUUUGAUGCCCUUGUUACCUGCCCCUACUGUAUAUUAUGAAACUAGCUUUGAGGGGUUACGUACGUCACUGUAAGUUUUAACCCACCCAAGUGUUCAUUGGGAAGAUACAGGCCUCUUUCUUUGAAAUUGAUGGCACCCUUGGAAUCAGUCGAUUUAUCCAAUCCCAUGAUUCCAAGUGGCCACUGCACAGUCUGCAGAAAACGAAACAAGAAAUUUAUCAACAGAUAGAUAGAUGCGGUUCCUGUGGCUUUUUGUACACAUUCCACUAGAUGGAACAAUACUGGCUUUGCAGCCGGCAAGGAAAAGUACAGGCAAUUUAUACAUGCCUCCAAGUCAUUUCCUCAACUUGCCCUGAAGAAUCAGUUCCUGCAGAGAAUUCUAGGUUCAUCCUAAAUGAAAUAGGUCAAACAGAGAAAGACAAAUGCCAUAUAAUCUCUCUGAUAUGUAGAAUCUCAAAAACAAAAACAAGCUCAUAGAUACCGAGAACAGAUUGGUGAUGGCAAAGAGGCAGAGGUUGAGAAAUGAAAUGUUUUCUUUCUUCUUCUUCUUCUUCUUCUUCUUCUUCUUCUUCUUCUUCUUCUUCUUCCUCUUCGUUUAAAUAAAUUGAAUAUAAAUAAAAAAAAAAGACAAGGUGAGGUACUUAUGUGGGGUUGGUGCUCUUAGGGAGAGGCUUUGUCUGCCGUAUGUCAGAGAGGACUUGGGAAGAGCACGAGGCAGGCUCCAAGCUAACCAUGAGCUGAGAUUGUUCCAAUGGCUCCUAUGCCAUUACUAAUAAGAAAUUUGUUUUUUCAGGAGACUGUCACCAGUAAAACAUAAGCUUCUGGCUUUUACUUUAAAGGAAAGAUGCCAGCUUCUCAGCUCAUCCUUUAAUUGCCUUCUACGUAAUAGGAGAGGUUGUUAGUAUAGAGAACAAGCCAGAACAGGGAUAGGGAAGCCAACUGCUCUCGAUUCCGACCAUGGAAAGUUCACUGGGAGGCGUGGUUUGAAUCCAACCAGAGGAUGCAGGAGACUGGAGAAGAUUUCCCUUUCGCUUCAGUCCCACAGCAAAGUACAUUGCCCUCUUUCCUUUGCGAAGCAACCACUGAGCACUUCUCAGAGAAAUGCCACAAAGAUGCCUCAGCCUCAAACAAGACCUCGAGAUACCAGAGUAAAGAGGGGAAUACCGAGAAGUCUGUCCUGGGAUGCAGGACACAUAGGCCUUGAGCCUGAGAGUUGCUGAGGCCUCGGCACAGAGUGCCAGAGUAUUCUGUAGCUGCACGUCUUUCACCAGACAGCCAGCUGGCAUUCAGGCGAAUACAAGUGUGGCGUGACAUAAGGACUCAGGAUUGGGACACCGAUGUCCGGGGCCCUGGAACUGAGCAGCGGCAUGGUGGUCCCCAUGUCCUCAGCCUCGGAACCACAGUGCACACAGACCAGCCUUCCAAAUGCCUGAAUCUCUACACUGCGUUCCUUUGCCGGAGGGAGUUCUCUGAAUAUCUCCCCGUGACAGACCGAAGCACCUGAGAAUGAAUAUCUCCCCCCACCUCUGUGGUGGUCUUCAACCUAAAACCAUCAGGAACUGGGGUCUCCAGCUCCCUUCUCCCUCAGGUGCAGGAACUCCAAGGUAAUGCCCAGAGGGGGACCGAGGCCAGCGUGUCCACACCCGAGCCAGGAAAGGGCGGAGCCACCAGCCAUAGAGCCUGAAGCAGAAAGCAGAGCCCCUGGGGACAGAAGGCUGCCACACCACUGCCCUGCUCCCAGGCUUCCAGCACAGGCUCCACAAAAGGAAAGCACUCAAACGGAAUUCCCUGAGAGCACCAGGAAUGUGGCUUCCAAUGAAGAUGGUCGUCUCUUGCCGUGGAAUACGACAUGAAGCUUCUUGACAUCUGAAGAUUUCCAAUGUCCACUUUGAGAGCCCACCCAUCAGAGCACUGUGGCAGCAGGAGUGUGGCCGAGAUUAGAGGUUGAAGACAGCUUUGUCGAAAUGAGCUACUGGCCUCAUGAGACCUGCUGAGGGGGUGAAGUGCGCAGGGAUGAAUAAACCCUGCCAUCAAAAAUGUCACCUUCAUCCAUGAGACAACAAGGCAAUCAUGAAUUGUAGUCACUGUCUGCCAUCCCCAACUUCCUAGGCACCGAGUGGCAUAGCCUUUUCCAGUCUCGGAGAAACUUUCCAAUCCUGCUGAAAUGACUUGGUACUCUAUUUCCAGACAGGAACAUAAUGUAUGUAUAUGGGAAAAUUAAGUCAAUAUUUAGCUUAAGCAUCUUUUGGCAAUACAUAGCUUUAAACAUAGAGUGCAUGUAAGUGUACCUUGACCAAAGGCUCACCAUGUGUCAUUUGCUGAUAUAAGCAUAUCAGAAUCAUUGAAAUUCAGAAAAAUUCAGUUUUCUGCUCACACAAUAGCCCUUAUGUACCGUAAACUAGCUCAGGGACUUUGUCCUUGAUGAUUUACUAUUGGAACACUUCCAGUUAUCCCCAUAGCUCACUCCAUAAUGGGCUCCCUCAGGCCUUCACUCUAAGUCACCUUCCCAGAGAGGUCUUCCCUGACCGUUCUUUUUAAAUUUAAGCCUCAAGGGACUGACCCUGUCCCUUUCCGUGUCCCUUUCUCAUUUUCUUUUUUUCCCCUUACCUGCUUUAUUUUAUACCUAUUUAUUUUAUUUCUCUUCUAUCGGCCCCUACUAAAGUAUAAGCACUAUGAUACCAGGAAUUUCUCUCUAUAUUUUUCCCCACUGCCAAAAAUCCUUGCUUGUAGAUGAAUUCCUAGUACAUAGUAGUCAUUCAGUAAAUAUGUGUUGAAUGGAUGGAUGGACGGGUGGAUGGACGGAUGAUCACUGGAUCUUUCAGCUGGCUGGAAUCUGACAAAGAGAGUACAGGUCCAAAAGUAAAUAAAGGACAAGCUGAUUUCUCAGCUUUUCUCUCUCUGCAUGUUGGCAGUUGUUAAACCAUCUGCUGUACGAGCAAGCUUUACCAUUUCACUCCUGAAACCCUGUGUUAAUUACAUCGCUACGUGGUAUUUCUUCACUUAUACAGGACAGCCAUGUGGUAAUGAUCUUUCGAGACAAUCCUAAAAGAAUAGUAUUUCACGAUUUGGUUAACAUAAGAGAUUAAGGUGGUUACUGAAGACGUGUCUGUAGGCAAUUCUCAAGUCUUUAUGUGUGGUUGAACAUAGUUAUCUGCCUCAUGGGACAAACUCUUUAUAAAAGUUAAGAGUCCAGUCGUCAGAGGCACUGUUCAUACACUUACCAACUAUUCAAAUCUACCUCUUCUAAACACAUUAGAUGCUAGUUUUUAUACUGUCCUUUUCUGUGUAUAAUCAGGGACACGGUGGUCAUUAACGUCCUCAGUCAAAGGGAUAUUCCUGAUUGGUUCUGUUGGAUCCUACUUUGACUCCAGGGUCCUGCAUGACACCCCUCCGUUCCAUAAAUUGUCUAUGCCCUCUCACCUCUGUUAGAGGUGAGGUAGAAAAUGGACGUAUGGAAGUUUAGCACCUAAAGAUGACGGGUAAUCCACAAGCAAUAAGUAAGAGAGGAAAGAGUAGGCCAUUAUCCAAAGGCUCUUUGAGGUCCGCCUUAGACAAUAACCAGUGCCCAAUCUGCCUCUGUUCAGCAACCUGGUCCUGGAGCUGGCAGGUCCUUCUUUUGGUACAUACCCCAUUCCUUCUCUUCCCCGCUAUCGGUCAGCCCUCCCCUCUCCCUUUUCCUGAUACAGUUUUAUUUAAAGAUGGAGGUAAAACUCGGCUCCAUGUACCCUAAAAGGUCCCCACUUAGAAUGGGCUUUUCUAUGAGCCUUUGUGUUUGCUUCACUGAGGCUGGAAGAGGGGAAAAUGGUCACAGGGAACAGAACAUCUGGCAAGCACGUAAAUUAGUAUUUCAGGAUUUAACCUUUUAGCUUGCUGAAUGAAAUCCUCCACACCUGAGGAUUACUCUGAGACCCACUUCUUGCUUGAGACCUGUUGACUCUACUCCAUUUGGCAUAAGUUAUCCCCUCCUCAGAAGUACCGUGUCUGCAUCACUCAUUUGUCUCUCCUGAACACACUUCAGUCUUGCUCUAGUUUUUUUUUUCUGUUGUGUUUUAAUAUCUUCUAAAUUCACCUUUUGUUUUGUCUUUCUACCUAGGUGAUCAACUCCUCUAGAGCAAGGAAGUUUCCCAAAAGUAUUUUGCAAGCCUGUGCCUCCCACAUAAUAAGCAUUCAGCAAAAAUCUGCAGAUGCAUUGGUCAAGUCCCAAUCUGCAAGGUACAACUGACUACGAGAGGCAGGAUGCUCGUCGACAUGAAGUGGUAUUCUGCAGCUUUCGGUGCUCUAAAGCUCUCCAUUACCAAGGGAAAGGAUUUCCACUCAAUUAGAUCACAAAAUAGAGGAUUCUGCGGUUUGAGUCCCAACAUGGGGAAGACUUGAAGAGAUUGUGUGUCAGAAAAACUAACUGAAGACAAGAGCUACAAUGUGUGUUAGCACGGAGGCAGUGUCCGCCCCAAGAACAGUCAGGUAUAUGUCUUCCUUUGUGCCUUCAGAGGGCUGUGUUGAGGGCUAGCACUCAUUUCCAGGAGAAAUGAAUCACGCACCCUCAGAUUGGAUGUGGCUAGCUGACUCUAGAGGGUGUCAGUCUUUGAGCUGCGCACCGUCUAACAUCAACACUUCGUUUACUCACAAUAUAAAUUAAAUCCCUGAGCUGGAACAAGCCAGGGGAGAGAUAGCAGGCUAGACUUGUCAUGGCAGGAAAGAGUAAAACACAGUGUAUCCUCACAAAACAUAUUAAAGAUGUAAAUUUGGGUAGGAAAAAUCCCGUUACGAUUAUUGCUUAUUAAAUGUUGUUACUUAAUCUGAAUUCUUCCAGGAAAUUUGAGUUUACCGAAUUCAGCUUGGUAGGACUCAGUGGAAUAAAGAAAAGCUGAAAGAAAGAGUGUUAAAUUCUCCACCUGGUUUGGUUGUUGAUUUCUCUUUAACCUAUAGGUGGUUCAUUGUAUUCUGCCCUUGACAGACAGUUAAUAAAAUUAUGGUCAAUUUGGG